GACGAACGCUGGCGGCGUGCUUAACACAUGCAAGUCGAACGGAAAGGCCUGCUUUCCCUUGUGGAUUGCGGGUGCUCGAGUGGCGAACGGGUGAGUAACACGUGAGUGAUCUGCCCCCAACUUGGGUAUAAGCCUGGGAAACUGGGUCUAAUUCCCGAUAGGACUGCAGGGUGGUGCCUGUGGUGGAAAACGAUUUUCUAGUGGUUGGGGAUGAGCUCGCGGCCUAUCAGCUUGUUGGUGGGGUAAUGGCCUACCAAGGCGGCGACGGGUAGCCGGCCUGAGAGGGUGGACGGCCACAUUGGGACUGAGAUACGGCCCAGACUCCUACGGGAGGCAGCAGUGGGGAAUAUGGCACAAUGGGCGGAAGCCUGAUGCAGCGACGCCGCGUGGGGGAUGACGGCCUUCGGGUUGUAAACUCCUUUCGACCGCGAGGAAGCCACCUGGUUGGAAGGGUGGUGACGGUAGUGGUAGAAGAAGCACCGGCUAACUACGUG
This 494-nucleotide ribosomal RNA is filed under the name uncultured bacterium. RNAcentral's name for it is "partial 16S ribosomal RNA". It matches the Rfam family "Bacterial small subunit ribosomal RNA", at positions 28 to 507 of the family's 1533-position model. The record is from RNAcentral.